RNAcentral lists this ribosomal RNA (426 nucleotides) under uncultured Actinomycetes bacterium. RNAcentral describes it as "bacterial SSU rRNA". It matches the Rfam family "Bacterial small subunit ribosomal RNA", at positions 9 to 438 of the family's 1533-position model. Lineage: Bacteria; Bacillati; Actinomycetota; Actinomycetes. The record is from RNAcentral.
GAGUUUGAUCGUGGCUCAGGACGAACGCUGGCGGCGUGCUUAACACAUGCAAGUCGAACGGAAAGGCCCCUUUGGGGUGCUCGAGUGGCGAACGGGUGAGUAACACGUGAGUAACCUGGCCUGGUCUUUGGGAUAACCUUCGGAAACGGGGGCUAAUACCGGAUAUUCCCGCUUCUGCGCAUGUGGGGGUGGGGAAAGCUUUUGCGGAUCGGGGUGGGCUCGCGGCCUAUCAGCUUGUUGGUGGGGUGAUGGCUUACCAAGGCUUUGACGGGUAGCCGGCCUGAGAGGGCGACCGGCCACACUGGGACUGAGACACGGCCCAGACUCCUACGGGAGGCAGCAGUGGGGAAUAUUGCACAAUGGACGCAAGUCUGAUGCAGCGACGCCGUGUGAGGGAUGACGGCCUUCGGUUGUAAACCUCUUUCG